Molecule: ribosomal RNA, 467 nt
Filed under: uncultured bacterium
Lineage: Bacteria
Description: partial 16S ribosomal RNA
Rfam family: Bacterial small subunit ribosomal RNA
Source: RNAcentral
GAUGAACGCUGGCGGCGUGCUUAACACAUGCAAGUCGAACGGAAAGGCCUCUGCUUGCAGGGGUACUCGAGUGGCGAACGGGUGAGUAACACGUGGGUGAUCUGCUCUGCACUUCGGGAUAAGCCUGGGAAACUGGGUCUAAUACCGGAUAGGACAAUGGUUUGGAUGCUGUUGUGGAAAGUUUUUCGGUGUGGGAUGAGCUCGCGGCCUAUCAGCUUGUUGGUGGGGUAAUGGCCUACCAAGGCGUCGACGGGUAGCCGGCCUGAGAGGGUGUACGGCCACAUUGGGACUGAGAUACGGCCCAGACUCCUACGGGGGGCAGAAGUGGGGAAUAUUGCACAAUGGGCGCAAGCCUGAUGCAGCGACGCCGCGUGGGGGAUGACGGCCUUCGGGUUGUAAACUCCUUUCGCUAGGGACGAAGCGUUUUUGUGACGGUACCUGGAGAAGAAGCACCGGCUAACUACGUG